RNAcentral lists this long non-coding RNA (1010 nucleotides) under Coturnix japonica (Japanese quail). RNAcentral describes it as "lncRNA (ENSCJPG00005007077.1)". The record is from RNAcentral. Lineage: Eukaryota; Metazoa; Chordata; Aves; Galliformes; Phasianidae.
AUUUGGAACAUCACAGCUUUAUGUGAACGUAUAGACAAUGGUGUAGUAGCCUUGCAUGUUUUAUGAACAAUUUUUAUUUAUUUAUUUUUUUGCAGCUAAGAAAUAUAUUCAGAAGCAGAAGAAAGCACAGAUACGGUUGUUAGAUAAUGUAUCGUGUGGCAAAACAAGCAAUAAUAAUAAUAAUAAAGAUAGGCCAGAUGAAAAGCCUCAUUUCUGUUGGAUGGAAGUUCUGUGGGAGAGGCUUCUGAGCACCACAUGGCAGAAGACUACUGACGUCUGGGAAAUCCUUGAGCAUUUCCACACAGGCAUGCCUGGCACCAAGGUAAUGGGAGGCACCAGCUUCCAAAGGGCAAGGAGGUGCCAUGAGAGAUGGGUACUGCAGGACAUCUCCUGGCUGAGAAAAUCACAGCUUAUCAGCUGUGGCCAAAUGCAUUCAAGAGAGGACAAGCUUCAUUCCUUAGAAUAUCUGUAGAUGAAGAAUUUCAAUCUUUUCUUCUAAUUUUUACUUGGUAUGUUGCAAGGUGGCUUGCUGACACUCCUCAGACGACAGGGAAUGCUUGAAUUUCUUGAUGGGAUCAGUCAUGUUAUCUUAUAAAUUUUAGAUAUGAUCAUAGGUGAGAUUUGAUGCUCUGUCACAGUGUGGUAAUCCUGUAGGCUCUCCUGCUAUUGUUUUGGAUAUUGCACCUGAUUCAGAUCCUCUUGGAGCCAGGGACAGCAUUACUGCCAAGUCUAUUAUCUGCAAAAUUGUGUGAUGGACAUUUGCACUUUGCUAUCUGCUUAUGCAGUUUUCAAUAACCUCACAACCUUCUCAGCCAAGACCACUCUUGGCAGAACAGGAAAAGUUUUGUCCUAUCUCUGGACUUUCCCUUGCCAGAAGAGCCUCUGCCAAGACGCAGCUCUAAUAGGAUUAACCAAGAGCAGGCAGUUAACCUAGGGAGUUGGUGUAAUGGAAAAAUAUGACUUUUUUUUUCACUUGAUAUGAUUAGAAAAUAAAAUGCAGUCAGUUAACA